RNAcentral lists this ribosomal RNA (1539 nucleotides) under Bacteroides clarus. Its description in RNAcentral is "bacterial SSU rRNA". It matches the Rfam family "Bacterial small subunit ribosomal RNA". The record is from RNAcentral. Lineage: Bacteria; Pseudomonadati; Bacteroidota; Bacteroidia; Bacteroidales; Bacteroidaceae.
CUUUUACAAUGAAGAGUUUGAUCCUGGCUCAGGAUGAACGCUAGCUACAGGCUUAACACAUGCAAGUCGAGGGGCAGCGGGGUUGAAGCUUGCUUCAACCGCCGGCGACCGGCGCACGGGUGAGUAACACGUAUCCAACCUGCCGAUAACUCUGGGAUAGCCUUUCGAAAGAAAGAUUAAUACCGGAUGGCAUAGUUUUCCCGCAUGGAAAAACUAUUAAAGAAUUUCGGUUAUCGAUGGGGAUGCGUUCCAUUAGGCAGUUGGCGGGGUAACGGCCCACCAAACCGACGAUGGAUAGGGGUUCUGAGAGGAAGGUCCCCCACAUUGGAACUGAGACACGGUCCAAACUCCUACGGGAGGCAGCAGUGAGGAAUAUUGGUCAAUGGACGAGAGUCUGAACCAGCCAAGUAGCGUGAAGGAUGACUGCCCUAUGGGUUGUAAACUUCUUUUAUAUGGGAAUAAAGUUAGCCACGUGUGGUUUUUUGCAUGUACCGUAUGAAUAAGGAUCGGCUAACUCCGUGCCAGCAGCCGCGGUAAUACGGAGGAUCCGAGCGUUAUCCGGAUUUAUUGGGUUUAAAGGGAGCGUAGGCGGGGUAUUAAGUCAGUUGUGAAAGUUUGCGGCUCAACCGUAAAAUUGCAGUUGAUACUGGUAUCCUUGAGUGCAGCAGAGGUGGGCGGAAUUCGUGGUGUAGCGGUGAAAUGCUUAGAUAUCACGAAGAACUCCGAUUGCGAAGGCAGCUCACUGGAGUGUAACUGACGCUGAUGCUCGAAAGUGUGGGUAUCAAACAGGAUUAGAUACCCUGGUAGUCCACACAGUAAACGAUGAAUACUCGCUGUUGGCGAUACAAUGUCAGCGGCCAAGCGAAAGCAUUAAGUAUUCCACCUGGGGAGUACGCCGGCAACGGUGAAACUCAAAGGAAUUGACGGGGGCCCGCACAAGCGGAGGAACAUGUGGUUUAAUUCGAUGAUACGCGAGGAACCUUACCCGGGCUUGAAUUGCAACUGACGGAGCUGGAAACAGUUCUUUCUUCGGACAGUUGUGAAGGUGCUGCAUGGUUGUCGUCAGCUCGUGCCGUGAGGUGUCGGCUUAAGUGCCAUAACGAGCGCAACCCUUAUCGAUAGUUACCAUCAGGUUAUGCUGGGGACUCUAUCGAGACUGCCGUCGUAAGAUGUGAGGAAGGUGGGGAUGACGUCAAAUCAGCACGGCCCUUACGUCCGGGGCUACACACGUGUUACAAUGGGGGGUACAGAAGGCAGCUACACGGCGACGUGAUGCUAAUCCCAAAAACCUCUCUCAGUUCGGAUUGGAGUCUGCAACCCGACUCCAUGAAGCUGGAUUCGCUAGUAAUCGCGCAUCAGCCACGGCGCGGUGAAUACGUUCCCGGGCCUUGUACACACCGCCCGUCAAGCCAUGAAAGCCGGGGGUACCUGAAGUACGUAACCGCAAGGAGCGUCCUAGGGUAAAACUGGUGAUUGGGGCUAAGUCGUAACAAGGUAGCCGUACCGGAAGGUGCGGCUGGAACACCUCCUUUCUGGAGC